Long non-coding RNA from Oxyura jamaicensis (ruddy duck), 957 nucleotides. RefSeq lists it as uncharacterized. Lineage: Eukaryota; Metazoa; Chordata; Aves; Anseriformes; Anatidae. The record is from RefSeq and is a predicted model, not a curated record. The transcript is spliced from 2 exons.
GCAGCAUUGGUGCUCCUUGGGGAUAGGAUGCUGGCUCUGAGGUCUGGAAGGUGAGUAUUGACUUGGGCAGCUCUUGACUUGGGCAGCAAGUCCCAGAAGCUGUAGCGGCUGUCACCGUGCGCGCGGGAGCUGGAAGGGGCGCGAGUCCCCCGGCGGAGGCGGCGAUGGGCGAGCAGGGACGGACGGGCACCGGGAGCUCCUCAGGGCUGCGGGGCUGGAAAGUGGCUGCGAAGGGACCUGGGAUUUCUCUGCCCCCCCUCCGUGCUCCGUCUCCGCUCGCCUUCCCGUCCCUGCCACCUGGGUGGCAUCGUGAGGCUCCAUCCAUCACUCUCCGGCAUCUCGAUCGCUCCUUGUGGGCUCACCCUCCGUGUGUCCAGGAGUCACUCGUCAACAACAAACAGUUAAAAGGAAGAAAAUAGGCUGGAAAUAUCAAUGCACUUUGGUAACAAUAAACCCUGCUUUUAAUUUAUGCUAAUAUGUAGGGUUGUGGUGACAGUAAGAACAAAAUUACAGAGUGGCUUUCUAGCUGGUAAUUAUCCCUCCAUUUUCGUUGCUCGGGAAGAUGGACACACAAUUAUGCUCUCUUGCUGUAUAUUAAUACGGAUUCUUGACAUCUUCAGCAGACCUGGAGCUGUCAUCGGGCUUUUUGUCUACUUUAAUUGAAAAUUAAUGGUUACUGUGUUACCACGGAAACCGUGGCAAUGGACGCCAAUAGCGCUCACAUAUCAAACAGGCACUGGUGGCAUUGUCUGUCCGUGUUGACCUUGAAAGUUAAAAGAAAAACUUAAAUUAAAAAAAAAAAAAAAAAGGAGAGGGGUAGGAAAGAAGGGGGAAAAAACCUUGAAAACCGAGGGGUGGGUACUGGGAAUCAAAGGAAGGGAAGAAGGGGGGAAAAAUGAGGGAUGUGAAGGAAAAACUUGGUGUCUCUUGUAUCUGGAAGGGGAGGAAAAAAAAAGC